RNAcentral lists this RNase MRP RNA (272 nucleotides) under Aotus nancymaae (Ma's night monkey). RNAcentral's name for it is "RNase MRP (ENSANAG00000005359.1)". It matches the Rfam family "RNase MRP". From Rfam's summary of the family: RNase MRP is an enzymatically active ribonucleoprotein with two distinct roles in eukaryotes. In mitochondria it plays a direct role in the initiation of mitochondrial DNA replication. The record is from Rfam by way of RNAcentral. Lineage: Eukaryota; Metazoa; Chordata; Mammalia; Primates; Aotidae.
GCUCGUGCUGAGGGCCUGUUUUCUAAGCUUCACACUAGAGACUUGUUCAUUACUCUUUUGUCUAAGGGAAAGUACCUGGGCCUAGGUCAGAGAGUGCCAUGUGGCUACACACAUUGACAUUCCCAUUUUCCAUAUUAAGUCUCCAAGAAGCUAAUAGGCAUAGCAGGAGCAGUAUGGUGAAGGGAUGUCACCCUCAGCUCUUCUAGUUACACAGGCAGUGCAGUGGACCUUCCUGCAUGCACCAACCACACAGGGCUUAUUCUUAGUGUGGC